RNAcentral lists this transfer RNA (73 nucleotides) under Salmonella enterica subsp. enterica serovar Weltevreden. RNAcentral's name for it is "tRNA-Thr". The stretch from base 6 to 62 matches the Rfam family "tRNA", at positions 9 to 63 of the family's 71-position model. Rfam says of the family: Transfer RNA (tRNA) molecules are approximately 80 nucleotides in length. The record is from RNAcentral. Lineage: Bacteria; Pseudomonadati; Pseudomonadota; Gammaproteobacteria; Enterobacterales; Enterobacteriaceae.
GCGGCAGNUCAGUUGGUAGAGCGCACCCUUGGUAAGGGUGAGGUCCCCAGUUCGACUCUGGGUAUCAGCACCA